Molecule: long non-coding RNA, 244 nt
Filed under: Macaca mulatta (Rhesus monkey)
Lineage: Eukaryota; Metazoa; Chordata; Mammalia; Primates; Cercopithecidae
Description: lncRNA (ENSMMUG00000056415.1)
Source: RNAcentral
UUCAAGGCACAGAAACUUCUUAUCACAAAUAAGUUAAUCCAAAACACGAAGUAGAAAAGGAAAACUGGACAGCUCUCGGUGAAACUGAUAAUAAACUCCUGCAAAGCAGAUUGUUUGGUUCUUCUUCCUCCAUGGUGCCUGGCCCAUCAUUCUGCAGAUAUAAGGUAGGCACUCGUUAAUAUUUUGCUCCUUUGAUUACUAUAACUGAAAAGCUGGGAUUCUAUAGGAUGUGGCCCCUUAAAAU